AAGCACAAAGGUUUGGUCCUGGCCUUACUGUUAAUUUUUAUUAGACCUACACAUGCAAGUUUCCACAACCCAGCAAGUAUGCCCUUUUAACUUCCAUAGAGUCUAAAGGAGCUGGUAUCAGGCACACUUACAAAAGUAGCCCAUGACACCUUGUUUAACCACACCCCCACGGGUUACAGCAGUGACUAACACUGAGCUAUAAACAAAAGUUUGACUAAAUCAUAAUAAAUAAGGGUUGGUAAAUCUCGUGCCAGUCACUACGGUCACACGAUUAACCCAAAUUAACAGAAGAGCGGCAUAAAGGGUGUUUAAGCAUAUAACCUACCAAAUAAAGUUAAAGCUCAACUGUGCUGUAAUACGCCCUAGUUGAUAUUAAAAUACGCAACUUACGUGACUUUACUAAUGCUGAAGACACUAAAGCUAAGGCACAAACUGGGAUUAGAGACCCCACUAUGCUUAGCCGUAAACCAAGGUAAUUAAAUAACAAAAUUACUUGCCAGAGAACUACUAGCCACUGCUUAAAACUCAAAGGACUUAGCGGUGCCCUAGACCCUCCUAGAGGAGCCUGUUCUAUAAUCGAUAAACCCUGAUACACCUCACCCCUUCUCGCUUAUCAGCCUAUAUACCGCCAUAGUCAGCUCACCCCAACAGGGCCCCAAAGUGAGCAAAAUCAUGAAACCAUAAAAACAUUAGGUCAAGGUGUAGCAUAUGAAAGGGGAAGCAAUGGGCUACAUUUUCUAUAUUAGAACACAACGGGUUGUCUACUGAAAUAAAGACAUGAAGGAGGAUUUAGUAGUAAAUUAAGAAUAGAGGGCUUAGUUGAAAUAGGCAAUAGGGUGCUUACACACCGCCCAUCACCCUCCUCAAUAAAGUAACCUUCAAUACCUAAUUAGAAUACGCCAAAAAGAGGAGAAAAGUUGUAACAUGGUAAGUGUACUGGAAAGUGCACUUGGACAAUCAAAAUG
This is a non-coding RNA of Sarcophilus harrisii (Tasmanian devil), 965 nucleotides long. The record is from Rfam. Lineage: Eukaryota; Metazoa; Chordata; Mammalia; Dasyuromorphia; Dasyuridae.